RNAcentral lists this ribosomal RNA (530 nucleotides) under uncultured bacterium. RNAcentral's name for it is "bacterial SSU rRNA". It matches the Rfam family "Bacterial small subunit ribosomal RNA", at positions 776 to 1304 of the family's 1533-position model. The record is from RNAcentral.
CAAUAGAUACCCUGGUAGUCCACGCCCUAAACGAUGCGAACUGGAUGUUGGGUACAUUACGGUACUCAGUGUCGAAGCUAACGCGUUAAGUUCGCCGCCUGGGGAGUACGGUCGCAAGACUGAAACUCAAAGGAAUUGACGGGGGCCCGCACAAGCGGUGGAGUAUGUGGUUUAAUUCGAUGCAACGCGAAGAACCUUACCUGGCCUUGACAUCUGUCGAAUCCUGCAGAGAUGCGGGAGUGCCGCAAGGAACGACAAGACAGGUGCUGCAUGGCUGUCGUCAGCUCGUGUCGUGAGAUGUUGGGUUAAGUCCCGCAACGAGCGCAACCCUUGUCCCUAGUUGCCAGCACGUAAUGGUGGGAACUCUAGGGAGACUGCCGGUGACAAACCGGAGGAAGGUGGGGAUGACGUCAAGUCCUCAUGGCCCUUACGGCCAGGGCUACACACGUACUACAAUGGUCGGUACAGAGGGUUGCGAAGCCGCGAGGUGGAGCCAAUCCCAGAAAACCGAUCCCAGUCCGGAUCGGAGU